Coffea arabica (coffee) is the source of this 539-nucleotide non-coding RNA. NCBI's taxonomy places the organism in Eukaryota, Viridiplantae, Streptophyta, Magnoliopsida, Gentianales, Rubiaceae. The record is from RefSeq and is a predicted model, not a curated record.
CUUCCGCAGCACAAGCUUAACGCCUCAGGUCCCUGUCUUCCACAGCGCAAGUUCAUCUCCCCUCGUUCCAGUCUCUACUAAUGCCCAAGAAGAUCUUGAGGAGCAAACUCAUGGAAGAAUACUUCAAGCCAACUGAAGACCAACUCUUGGUCAGGUGCAAAUUGAUUACCAGCUAUUUCCUGAAUCUCCUUUAGUGGGACCUUGUGCAAUCAUAAGCUGGUCAACCAGAAAUAAGUUGCUUUUACAGCACCAUUAGUAGGAAUUUUGUACCCAUUAGUACUGAUGGAUCUGCCAUUUUAGUCCGAAAUUAGUUACAUUAUUGGUCACUGCAGAUGUGUCUGCAUUCUUAAUUAGGUCUGUAGGCCAAGUUGUUUAGACAAAUAGACAACAAGAGGACUUCAGCCGAUGUGGGUUCUUUGUUGUGAUAAUUGCAUCUGUGCUGUAUAAUCAUCCUUUGAAGUGAAUGAUUUCAUCUUAAAGUGACACAGAAUCGAAUUACUAUUCAUUGCCUAAAUAAAAAGCAUAAGAUUGUCGGGGAA